GACGAAGGGGGCUAGCGUUGUUCGGAAUUACUGGGCGUAAAGCGCGUGUAGGCGGUUGUCCAAGUUGGAUGUGAAAGCCUUGAGCUCAACUCAAGAAAUGCAUUCAGGACUGGGCGACUAGAGGACCGGAGAGGAUAGUGGAAUUCCCAGUGUAGUGGUGAAAUGCGUAGAUAUCGGGAGGAACACCAGUGGCGAAGGCGGCUACCUGGCCCACUCUUGACGCUGAGGCGCGAAAGCUAGGGGAGCAAACGGG
This 253-nucleotide ribosomal RNA is filed under the name uncultured bacterium. RNAcentral describes it as "partial 16S ribosomal RNA". It matches the Rfam family "Bacterial small subunit ribosomal RNA", at positions 524 to 776 of the family's 1533-position model. The record is from RNAcentral.